This 82-nucleotide transfer RNA is filed under the name Klebsiella pneumoniae. RNAcentral's name for it is "tRNA-Ala". Lineage: Bacteria; Pseudomonadati; Pseudomonadota; Gammaproteobacteria; Enterobacterales; Enterobacteriaceae. The record is from RNAcentral.
GGACUUAUAGCUCUUAGUUGGGUAGAGCGCCUGCUUUGCACGCAGGAGGUGAGUUCGACUCUCCUCCGCAGUAGCUCCACCA